This is a long non-coding RNA of Cannabis sativa, 1755 nucleotides long. RefSeq lists it as uncharacterized. The transcript has 4 exons. The record is from RefSeq and is a predicted model, not a curated record. NCBI's taxonomy places the organism in Eukaryota, Viridiplantae, Streptophyta, Magnoliopsida, Rosales, Cannabaceae.
GCAAUUCUUGGUUUAACAGUAUAUUCUUUUUUUUAUUCCGUUAACUUUAACGUAGGGUUAACAGAUAUUUCACGAUACAUAUAUACGCAACAUUCCCCUGUUUCUUUUCAAACCCUAAAAUUUUUAACGUUUUCGAGUGGCCAGUGUUCACGAAAGCUUCACUCACGACCGCUCAAUAAUGGUAACCAGAAGUCUUUUUUAAUCACAUUUGGGCUUUGCCUUUGGAGGUAUGCCUACAACUUUUCCCACUCACAUGGUAUACAUUUGUCCCUCCAAACUUUCUUGGGCUACCUUUUUUUAUCCUUCAUAGACUUAUUCAAAUCGAACAUUCUUCAUAGACUACUUUUACUAAUAUGUAAUUGAUGAACUUGUAAAGGGAAUAUUUUGUUUAGGUGUAAUCAUAAAUUGAAUAUUUUGUCUUCCCCAUUGUUGAUCAAAAUCCCUAGAACAUUUAUCAUUGAUCUGUGAUUGGAGAUGACUUAGCGGCAUUCUUUUUCUACUACUACUUCAAGUUCAGAGGCAGUUCAAGCCAUUUGCUUUCAAAAGGAAAAUUGAGAAGCAAAGGGCUGAAACCAUAUACUUGCAAGUGGGACAUCACUCAUUCUGCUAAUGAGUUGAGACAGACAAUGUAUCAAUAGCUAGAAAAAUUGUGGCUCGCCAAGCAUUUGGAAAACUUGCAUUUCUCACUCCAAGAGAUGAUUCUUAAGGAGGGGACACUUUGGAGAUUCUACAGCUCUUCGAAAAGAUGGCUGAGAUCUACUACUAACCAAGUUAUUUAUCGUUGCUUGUAGCUCAUUAUAGUAAAGACAAUGAAGCUCAUUUUAGCUCACGUGUACUUGCUUCGUUGUAUUCCUCUAUUUGUUCAUAAUUUUAUGUGGAAUAUCUGGUUUACUUAGUGGAAAGAUUUAUUUUGUGUUUCAAUGUGCUUCUUUUUUGUCCCCUAAAUGAAUUGAACUUCGUAAGUUUAAUCAGAGUUAUAUUUAUAGGCAUUUUUUUAGCCAAAGUGAUUGUUUGAAUGCAUAAUGAUUGAAGACAUUGGAAAUAUAGUAUUAGCUUGAGUUAAAUUGAACGCAACUUUCUAAGUUUUCUGCACAUUUUUUGCCUAAAAUUUGUUUUAACAAUUUGAAUUUGUGCUGUUUAGGUCUUUUGGGAGUCAAAAUUGUGGUUCAAGUUGUCGUCUCUCUCCCACUCUCUCUUAAUGAUUUUUUUAGUCUUGUAUUUAGGGAUGGGAUGUAUGUUUGUGUGCAUGGACGUUUGAAAAGCUUCCACGGUAAAAGAACCUUAAAUGAAUUCUCCAUAAGGCCCAUAGAGGAGGAAAACGAGAUUGCGUACCAUUUUAUUGAGUGCAUAUAUGUUCGUUUUUACAACAAGAAGGUCAGAGCAUUGGUCUAAGACUCUUUUUGAUCGAAAGUUGAAACAAGGCUCUGGUGUUGAUGUUUCAUUUCGAUGUGGACUUCUGCUCCAGUUUCUGAUGUUGUCUGUUUGUAACAAAAAGUACAAGCACAAGGUAGUUGUUUCAUUUUGAUGUGGAAAGAUUGGGGCUUUAUUUAGAAUUUCAUUCUUUGAUGUUUUUUUUUAAGACGGUGAUCAUUGUAUGCAGAACGAAGAUGAGUGCAAAAUACAAACAUUUCACUAUUUAAAUUGCUGAGUUAAUAGAAGGUUAAGAUAAAAUUUUUGUUUUAGUUUUUCUAGAUUAUUAUAUCUUUAAGACUUUAUUUAAUAAUUCUUUACCUUUAUUUUUAUUUUUAGAUGGUA